UGGAGGGGGCGGGGUAAGGAAGGCGGAAGUGAGAUGAUACUUUUAAAAAAAGUAUUAGAACGGAACACACACGAUGAACAAACAAAAAGUAUAUGCUGUACAUACAAUUUUGGCAACAACUUCAAGGCACAAGGCACAAGGCACAAGGCACAAGUUCGCCUGAAGCAAGAGGAUCGUUUCCUUCCUUCCUGAAGAACUAUGCUCUAUUUUCCCACUGACACAUAUAACAGGGACGUCCUUGCAACCUCUGCCUGCUCUCUUCUCCCCUCAGCCUCGCUCUGCCUUCCUCCGUGUGACGAGCCAACGCCCAGUUGCUGCAGUGCAGCUCACGCCUCCUCUUUCCACCCCCACCCAAAAAAAUAUAUGACCCCCAUCUCUCUUUUCUUUCCUCAGUCUUAGCAAUACUUUCCUCUCCUCACUCACACCAGCCUUCUUUCUCCAGCGGUGGGGCAAAGAAAAGUGAUUGUUUUUUUCUUUAAUCCGAUUAAGCUCAAAACUCCAAAUGAAACAAAGAAAGAAUGCAUGCUGUGUGUGCAGAAAGUAAACCUUAUGGCACUUGGCAACACUUAAAAGAGCCAUCCUGACUCAUGCCUGUCAUAAUCAUUUCUGAAUGCAUAAACACAACUGGGGGGAAAAAACCCCAAAACAAUAUUUGAUAGUGCUGCAGUGGGCAAAAAGUUGGUUUCAGUUUGGCACUUUUCCAACCUCAACCCUAAUAUUAGCAGUUAUCAUGACUGGUUUAGAACAUUAUACACCAGUAGCAUCCAGUGGGAAGCCCAGGCAGCAGAUGUGGUGCCUGGCAUGCUAUAGGAAUAAAAAUAAACUAAUAAACUAAUAAAAACAGAAAAAAUGGGUGUAAAAAAGGGAGGAAAAAAAGCAUAAUACAGUGAGAAAAAUGUAUGCGAAUAACACUGAAUAACCUGCAGUACGUUUUGGCCUUGGAGCAAAACAUUUUAACUACAGCAAAAAUGGGGGGGGGGAAAGAGUAAAUAGAUAUAAUGUAAGGAAAAUGCUAAUAACACUAAUAAUUAAUAGUAAUAUUCUUUGUCACCUAUAACACCAAGUUUUGUCUUUAAAUAUAUAUAAUGUAUCUUUUAGCCUUUUUUUAAAUGCUAAAUUUGCGGCCUUUUUAGGUAGCACCUUUUUAGCGACUGGCUUGUGGCACAUUCUAAAAAUCAAAAAAAAAAAAUAUACAGUAAAAAUUGAACAGAAGAGCAAAGAGAGACAUAAUGUAAAGAAAGAUGUUUAUGCUAAUAACACGAAUAAUACGCUUUGUCAACUAUAACAAAGCUGACACUAUUUUUUUAAAUGCAUAUAAUGUCUUUUUUAGUUACAAAAUUUGUGAACUGCAGCACAUUUUUAAAAAUAAAAUGACACAAUGACAAAAUGGGAAAAAGAGAGCAAAACGUCCUAAUGUAAUGAGAAAAAGCUGACAUCUUAUGUUUCCUGUUUAUACUUUUAUACUUUGCGGUUUAUCCACAUAAACCAGCCGGAGGCGCCAAACACCUUCUCCCCAAACGAGUCGGGGGUUUCCUUCCUGUCACCCACUUCCACCAGUGACCUGCUGACACAGACAGCCUCAAAGGUUGGGCAAUGAGUCGAGCAUCUUAGAAAUAUGGCAUCCUUUUUUAUUUCAAUCCAACAGUUUUCUUGCAAAAGAGCAGCUGUCUUAUAUUCUGUGUUGUCCUGAUUUCACUACAACAAGCAGUAAAAUCCAACAGUACUUUUGUAGAAAUGUGCUUUGUGUGAUACACUGUACGUCUAACUUCCUGACAUUGUCCCAUGGAGGCAGCGCCGUCAUUCAAACAUCCCGGUGGACACGACCGACAUAUGACAUUGAUCUAUUGGCAUUUAGGGUGGAGCCCUCGGGUGGAACUCUGCCUAGCAACAAGGAAAAUGUUGCAAGCGAGGAGCAAGAUAGCUCAAGUAUUGUUUCAGUUGUGGAGUCGAAGAUUGAAUCCAUCUUUUAUUGUGUCGUUGUGCAAUUCAGAGUAUAAGCAUUCAAAGAAAAACUGGACAAAAUUGGUUCCAACAGAGGUCGCACUGUGCUGUUAUUUUCUUUGUACAGUAAGGGGUCGGCGCCGCUCCAAAUAAAAACACCACCAAUGGCAGUAUCUGCAGGUACAAAGCUGUCGCAGGCUUGACGUGCAUGUAACUGCAAUGAGGUCACCAUCAGAGCAUUCUGACCAUGACAUUUGGGCCCCAGAACCUAAAGAACACGGUGUUUGCCCGACUGGAGCAGAACCACUGCAGAGCAAACCCACUUACUGGAAUGUAAGCCUUGUAAAACUGGCCCAGUCGAUGAGCAUUGAUCGGGAGCAGCAAAAGAUUUGUCCUCAAGUGCUCUUGAGAGGCUCUUUCCAGUUUUGGAAGGUCAGCAGAUUUCCCAAGAUUACCGCACCACGAAAAUAUUGAAACGGACGCCAAUCUGAAGCGGUCGUACUCGCAGAUAUGGCUGCCAUCAGUGAAAAUGAUUGAGGUUAGAAACCAUACAGAGCUGCCAUGUGGGCUCCUCUCCUCAUCAGCACUCACGGAGAGAAGGUUUGCGCCAUUCUUCUCCUUGACAGGAAGCUACUCUGCAUUAUUGUGGCAUCUUGGCUCCCACAGGCUAACUGAGAUGAUUUCUGGACGUCUGCCAGGCGGAUUUUUUUUUUCCUGCCCUCAAGCUCUUGGAUUGGAACGGAGUGCGUCUGGCAUACCCUUCCCUAAUGAUCAAUGGCUCCUAAUGCAGAGGGGGCCGUGCAUAGCUUGGGAAUUAAAUAAGAACGCCUUUUUUUUUUUCUUGCGUGCCAUAAUGGAUGAAUCACAGAAAUCCGAUUUUUUCCAAUCCAUUCAGCGAUGCAGGUCACACUGAGAAUGUGUUUAGAAAGGUUUUUCAGCUUUCUCUCGGUCAGAUCAAUACGACCGAGGAUUAGGGCCACAUUGAAGGAAAAAAAAUGAUAGAUUUUGGGAAUAAGAUCGUAAAAUUAACGAGAAAAAAGUCAUACAUUUACGAGAAAAAUGUCGGAAAUUUACGAGACAAAAAGUCGUAAUAUUAGGAGAAUAAAGUCUUUAUUCUCCUAAUAUUAUGACUUUUAUUUGUUUCAUUUUAGUUUAAUGUACGACUUCUUUCUCAUAAAUGUGUAUAUAUAUAUUAUUUAAUAUAUAUUAUUUAAUCCUACCCCCUCUCUCUUUCAUAUCAAUUACAAUACAUUUGUUGACUUCCUCUUUGCCAAUGUUAAAUACGUAUCACUGUAAAUACAUUAUAGUGAGUCAUAAGAGUCAUAACAAAUAAUACAUAUGAUGAAAUAAUAAAGGUAAUAGUUGACAGAGACAGUUGGAUUAUGAGUGAGUACAUCACAAUGUACUCACAAGAAAUGAAUAUGAGCAAAAAAUAAGGUCAUUUUGGCACCAUAAUCUUGAAAUUUUAGAGAAGAGACGUUAGAUAGGAAUAUUGUGAAAAACUAACAACAAAUAAAGUUGUCAUUUUUGGAAAAUUAGAUUGCAGAAAAGUUCUAAUGUUAUGGCAAUAAAGUCAUAAUUCUGAGAAGAUAAUUCACAAGAAGAAAGUUGAAAUUGUUGUGGAAAAAAAUGUGUACACGUCAAGAAAACUUUUUACGAGAAUAAAAUCGGUUUCAUUAUAAGGAAAAAUGUCAUUUUAGAGUUGGAAUGUUAAAGUAAAAAUACAUUAUAGUUGUAAUUUUUUGGAAUAUUAGGUUGGGGAAAAAAUUAUAAUAUUAUGGGAAAAAGUAGAAAUAUUACAGUAACAAUAUUACAAAAAGAAAAUUUACAAAUAUUAUUUAAGAAGAGCGUUGAAAUAUUUGGAAAAUAAAAACAGCAAAAAUGGGAAAAGGAGAGCAAAAUCUGAAGUUGUUACUAAUAAUACGCCUUUUCCCUGAUAUCACAAAGCUGAGAUGCAGUUUUUUCUUGAAAUAUGUGUCACUUCUUAGCAUAUCUACACGUGUUGGUUGAUUGACAAAACAUCAAGAUGGCCCGUGCAUGAAAAUGUUUGGACACCCCCACCUAAAAGAAGCCUGGUCUGAUUCAAAUGCUGGAACCUCACUGACACCUACAGUGUGAAGUCAGCAAGUGCAAUAGCAGCAUUCUCAUUGAAAGCAGGAGUAAAACGUAUCAAUCUAAAACGGGGGUGUCCAAAGUGCGGCCCUUGGGUGUUUAAUUUAUUGGUCCACGGCACAUUCUUAAAAUACAACAGCAAACAUAAUUUUACAAGAAUAUAGUAAUGUUAGAAGGAGAAGGAGAAAUAUUAUGAGAAUAAAGCCAUAAUAAAAAAAUGCCUUAUGUAUUAUUAUAAAAUGAUAUUAGGAACAAUAUGUCAUGUUAGAAGUUGACAUUAUUUUAUAUUUCCAUAUAUUAUUUUCUAAAGUUGUAAUAUUAUGGGAGAUAAAACAAAACAAAGAAUGAAGCUGCAAAUUUUGGAUAAUUAGGCUGCGGAAAAAUGAUAUUAGGAGAAUAAAGUCAAUGCUACUUGAAAAAAGUUUUCAUUUUGCGAGAAUAAAAAUAUUAUUGUAUUGUAUUGUAUUGUAUGUACUUUAUUUAUCCCACAGCGGGGAAAUUUACUUGUUACAGCAGCAAGACAAGUAAAGAGAACAGUGUAAAGAAAGCAUAGUGUCUACAACAUGGUUCAGGUGGUGCAGGUGUUGUAGAGCCUGACAGCGGUCGGUAUGAAGGACCUGCGGAACCUCUCCUUCUUACACCGUGGGUGUAACAGUCUGGUGCUGAAGGAGCUGCUCAGGGAAACAACAGUGUCAUGUAGCGGGUGAGAGGUGUUGUUCAUGAUGGAUGUCAGCUUAUGGGAGACAACUUAGGAAGAAUGAAGUUGCAAAUGUUUUUAAAUUAGGUUGGGAGUGAAAAGUGAUAAUAUUACAAGAAUAAUGGCAAAAUAUUAUGGGAAUAAAGUCAUAACAUUAUAAAUUUAGAAAAAAUACAUUUGAGGUGAACUGGUUAGCGUGCUAGCUUGUUAGCUCGCUAGCUAGCGGCCGUCUCGAGCAUCACAUAGACAGACGCCGCAUCGACCGCUGAGUUGUACGUCAAUGUCGCCGCCAUAUUGGAUGUGUCAAGGCUGCGCUGUCAAUGAAUACGAGUAAAUGUACUUACUUUCAUAAAGCUCCUUUCUGCAAAGAAAUUUAAGGUAAUACUUCUCGUUUAUACAUCCAAAAACAAUGUAUUUGAUCUCAC
Molecule: long non-coding RNA, 5175 nt
Organism: Dunckerocampus dactyliophorus (ringed pipefish)
Lineage: Eukaryota; Metazoa; Chordata; Actinopteri; Syngnathiformes; Syngnathidae
Exons: 3
Source: RefSeq, a predicted model, not a curated record